Molecule: long non-coding RNA, 2225 nt
Organism: Mercenaria mercenaria
Lineage: Eukaryota; Metazoa; Mollusca; Bivalvia; Venerida; Veneridae
Exons: 3
Source: RefSeq, a predicted model, not a curated record
GAAAUGACACGGCAAAGUAACAGAACAGCAAAAUGACUAAAGAGAUGCAAGUGUUUGUUCUAUGAGGAAGCAUGGUAUACAAUAUGGACUUAAAAAGUUAAUUUGCAGCUGGACAGUCUGACAGUGUGAAGUAACAAUAAGGUAGAGUGGUUUCUGUACUGGCCUUGAACUUCAGAAUUGGGGAGAUGCAGAUGAUUGUUCUACAUGGCGCAUGAAGGAAAUCUAGUGGAUGGCAGUUAUAGAAAACAUAUAAUAAGGUUUGAAGGGUCGUGUGUUGAAUGUUUUGUACGAAGGUGGUAUGGAGGAAAGGGAAGCUAAUGCCACUCGACAGAGACAGCCUUUAUAUAUGGAACAAAGGAUCAGGAACAGAAUUUGGAACUGCAAGUUACACAGUACAGCAAAAACUUGUGUAGGGACACAAACAAAAUCCAGUAAUUGUCCAUUAAUGUGACAUGGAAAUGUGACUUUGAAAAAAAGAAAAAGUGGAUUGAAAUUUUAAGAAUAGUGAAAGCAAUUGAACAGAUAAUAAACAUAAAUGCACUUCCUUCUAGUAGAUGUCAUCACUGCCACAUUUGCCUAUGAACAUUCACAAGCUCCCUCAGCCUUAUUCUCUUCAGACAUGACUUCUCAGUUGAAAAAAACCUUCUUCUCAACAGUCAGUAUCAAGUGAUCCUGCAACCCAUGUAACUGACUUGGAUGCAUCUCCAUGUCUAUCUCUUCUGCUGACUACCGCAUGAACUUUGCCUGUUGAUCCAUUGAUUCCUGCUACCGUUGUUUCAGAUAUGAAAAUGAAUCCAGGUGUUACAUCUUCCACUGUUGAUCACGGCUUGGUUGCGCCCAUUUCCCUUUGAGCUGUCGCAGCUUCAGUUGGUAUUGUUUCAUCUAUGCCCAUUUGUUUUCCAGAAAGCGCUUAUGAUGCAGAUAUAAAGACCAGUGUUUCAGAUGGUACUACAUCCUGUUAUGUGUCAAAUGGUUCCGAGUCUACGCUACCUAAAACCGUUUGAGAAUUCAGUCAGUCUGAAUCUCAAUCUGGAAUUGGUUGUACCACAACCAUGUCUGGUAUGUCUUUGCAGCAACAUCAUCACCGUACAUUGACAUAUGUUUACAGACCCCUGAAUGUUUCUAUUCAGUUUUGAUCAGUCCAUACAAUGUCAACACAAUGUAGUGCAGGAACCAGUUUUUCCAUGCCUGUGUCUGGUACCAGUUUUUCCAUGCCACCAGUUUUUCCAUGCCUGUGUCUGGCACCAGUUUUUCCACGCCUGUGUCUUGUACCCAUUUUUCCAUGCCUAUGUCUGGUACCAGUUUUUCCACUCCUGUGUCUGGUACCAGUUUUUCCAUGCCUGCGUCUUUUACCAGUUUUUCCAUGCCUGUGUCUGGUACCAAUUUUUCCAAGCCUCUGUCUGGUACCAGUUUUUCCACGGCUAUGUCUGGUAAGCCUUUGCAGCCACGUCAUUACACUGUAAUGCCGUAUGUUUUUCAAUCCCUGAAUGUUGAUUUUCUGUCUCGUUCUAUCCAUUCUGAAAGUCUGGCUUUGGUAUCAUCUCUAUCUACUGAGGGUGCAGCAGAUUUAAGUUUUUCCACGCCAAGGACUGGUAUAACUUGGCAUCCACAUCAUCACAGUCGAGCUUUGAUGUCAGCACCAUCAGCAGGUUCCAGUUUUACCCAGUCUGUGUCUGAUAUGUCUUGGUAGUCACAUUGUCACAGUAUAAUGCCACAUUUUGCUCAGACAGUGAAAGUUUCUUUUCAGUCUCUAUCCACCCAUACUGGAAAUGCUGUGCAAUCCUCUCCUGGACAAGGCACUUGUGAUGUCCCAGUACCGGCACUACUGUCUGAAUCUCCUAGUUGGUCUUCUUCACUUUCUACCAAGUUUUCAGCAAGACAGCCUCUUCAGACAUCCACAGUAUUAAACAGGUCUUACGUAGAGGUUUCUUCUUCUGCAGAUGUUGCUGCUGUACAUCCAAUUCUUAACCUCAAGUUACAUAAAAAUGUCACUACUUCCCUUCUUAUGAACUAUUCCCAGGCACCUUCUCUCUUUGCUAGGAAAUCGGCCCAAACUUUUUUUUACUGAGAAUGAAUUGUAUGAGAGAAAUUUUUAUGCGCAAGGCAAAGUAUGUCUUCCACGUUUGAUAGAAGAAACAUAUGAACAUUUCCCCAGGGAGCUUGAAAGUGGGAGUAAAUGACAUAAACAGUGGAAUUAGGGGUUAACAGAGAAAAAGAAUAAGUAA